UACGAAGGGGGCUAGCGUUGCUCGGAAUCACUGGGCGUAAAGCGCACGUAGGCGGAUUUCUAAGUCAGGGGUGAAAUCCUGGAGCUCAACUCCAGAACUGCCUUUGAUACUGGGAAUCUCGAGUCCGGGAGAGGUGAGUGGAACUGCGAGUGUAGAGGUGAAAUUCGUAGAUAUUCGCAAGAACACCAGUGGCGAAGGCGGCUCACUGGCCCGGUACUGACGCUGAGGUGCGAAAGCGUGGGGAGCAACAGGG
Molecule: ribosomal RNA, 253 nt
Filed under: uncultured bacterium
Lineage: Bacteria
Description: partial 16S ribosomal RNA
Rfam family: Bacterial small subunit ribosomal RNA
Source: RNAcentral